Lactuca sativa (garden lettuce) is the source of this 2517-nucleotide long non-coding RNA. RefSeq lists it as uncharacterized. Lineage: Eukaryota; Viridiplantae; Streptophyta; Magnoliopsida; Asterales; Asteraceae. The record is from RefSeq and is a predicted model, not a curated record.
UAAUGCCUCUUAAAUUAGAUUUACAUGUUUUCUUUCAUGCCACGUAGCCUACCCUAAACGCCGUUUGGUAUCACAUCAAACGUUCUUCACUUCUCUUUCAACGUCUCAUCUCUCAUGUUUAAACACCCAUCGAUUCUGCAAUUCCCGUUUCUCCUGUAAGCGCACCCGAUUUCCUCUCCAACAAGAACACGGAAGACAUCAGCCCAAAAAACCCUAAUUUCACAGACAAGCAAAUCAAAAAUUCAUCUAUGUCGUCUGAUGAUUGAUGACCUUUCCAAUUUCCUCAAUAGAGAACACCGACAACAUCAUCCACCAAAAAAAAAACAUAAUUUCGCAGCCUGUGAUUUCGCCACUUGAUCUUUGUCGACUGGGGAUUGAUUGAUGUUCCCAGAGUCUUCAAAAGAGGUACGCAUUGUAGCACGUGGUUCCUGGUUUUGAGGCAAAAGGGGAAGUAGAUCAAGAAGAAGGGAAGGAAUCCAGGCAUCUUUGUACUCCUUCAGUAGUUCCUUUGAGCCGGAGGAUUUCCGGAGCAGCAGCAGCAGCAGUAGGCAGUCAGUUCCCGAUCAGAUCAGCAGCUACUUCGAGGUAUCUCCUCAGCUAGGGGAAAGGAGCCGGCGUGGUAGCAGCAUGUCACACACACACACUCUCUGGUUUCCGCAUUUACGAGAUUCUCUGGGAUUUAUACUCUGAUAUUUUGAUUGGUUGUAUGAUUUGGCUUUUAGACAUGGUUUAUGUUGUGUUAUGGUUUGAUCAAACAAUGUUUUAAUUACUAAUGUUUUCUAAAGUAAUGUUUUAAAACGAAAUUUUUGGACGUGAAAAUUGGGUCGUUAUACGCAUUUAGUUCAAGUCAAACUUCAUAUUUUACCCUUGGACUCGACGAGUUAGAGGCUCAACUCGUCGAGUAGGAUCAACUCUGGGUCGGGGAACUAAGUGACCUACUCGACGAGUCGGAAUACUGACUCGGCGAGUAGAAGUUGUCUGUUGGAAACUCUGAUUUUUAGGGUUUGUCCCCCUAUUUAAAGAAACAUAACACCCUUGUGGCCUCCUUAUCACUCCUUCAACGUCCAGAAAACCCUAACUCGCCACCUUGAGCCUUGUGAGUGUUUGAGUGCCAUUUUUGAGUAAUCUUGUGUGAUUUGAAGUUUGUGUGAAGAAGAGGAAGAAGGAGGACUUCAAAAGAAGAUUGUAGAUCCAGGAACAACAACAUUUUCUCCUCCCUUUCUGGUAAUCAAGCUCCAUACUUGACUUGUAUUUUCUUAGAUCUCCCUGUGGCCAUUUUUAUGGAGUUUUGGGUCCAAGAAGCUUAAUCCUUGGGACUUGGACGUCCCAAGUUAAUAUAUCUUCAGAUCUGGAACCUUGGAGGGUCCUCAUGGCAUAAAGGUGCCAUCUUUAUGGCCAUGAGAACACCAUGUGUGAAAUAAACCCCAUUUUUGGUCCUUUGAGCAUAAAAAUCCCACACAUGUACGUAAAGUUCAUGACUUUACGUAUUAUAUCGAAUUAAGGACCCCAGAUCUACCUUUUGGAUGAGAUUUGUACAUCAGAAAUUGAGUUAUGGACUUGGACAAUAGCCGACUCGAUGAGUCGUUCUUGGGACUCGACGAGUCCGGGGGUUUGGUUCCCCCAACCUGUUGUGAUUCACAGGGAAUCAAGUUGAGUUUAGAAGGGAUGUAGUUGAGUCUAGAAGAAGGACCCAACGAAAUACACUUAGUUAUGGACCUGGAAACCAUGGGACUCAGCGAGUGUAUGAAUGCACUUGGCGAGUCCAAGGCCAUCUCCCAAUCCAUGAAGAGGGACUCGACGAGUUGUUCAUACAACUCGGCUAGUCACAGUCUAGACGUACUCAUUCGAUGAAACUGGAAUCGACGAGUUCAAGGAUGAACUCGGCGAGUCUGUUGAAGAUUGUCCCGAUGUUAUAGUUGAAGGAUAACUCGUCGAGUCUUGCUAGACUCGACGAGUAGAGUCGGGGUUGGGGACAGAUGAAAAAUAAGGACUUGGCGAGUUGGCGGACCAACUCGGUGAGUCAAGUCAUCUGGAUGUUGACUUUGACUAGAAUUUUGACCUUGGCCAGGGGUAAAAUAGUCAUUUUACCCUAAGAGUAGUUAUCAGCUUUUGACUAAGUAUCUUUAUGGAAAUUAUAGUCGGGGAGUCGCCGGAGCAGCAAACAGGGAUUUCUCACUUAGAGUUUCAGCAGCCAGUCAGAAGAGGUACUUCAGCAAGCAAAGGGAAGGGCUCGAGUUGAUGGCAUGGCACACACCACAGUUUCUAUUAGUCUGAGAGCUUACUCUGAUAUUUAUUAUGAGACAAUUAUACGUUGACCAAUUUUAUGAGACAUUGAGAAACAUGUUUGAUAAUUUGAUUUUAUGAUGAUAAUAUUAUGCUUGUUAAUUGAUUUUAAAAACGAAAUUUUUGGCUUGUAUGUUUUUUGGGAUGUUCCACAUUCAUAUAGACAAUAACUGUUGUCAUUAUUAUUAUUAUUAUUUUGUAAUGUCUGUUUAAUUUAAUAUAAGCAUUAAAUAA